This 281-nucleotide long non-coding RNA is filed under the name Ananas comosus (pineapple). RNAcentral's name for it is "long non-coding RNA (ACOM_LNC034111)". The record is from RNAcentral. Lineage: Eukaryota; Viridiplantae; Streptophyta; Magnoliopsida; Poales; Bromeliaceae.
CGUCGUCCUUUAUUUGAACUUUUAGCGGCGAUAUGGUGUCGCCGCCUUUAUUCAAAAUUUAGUGGCGACAAUGUGUCGCUAUCUUUUAUUCAAACUUUUAGUGGCGACAAAAUGUCGCUAGUGGCGACAAAAUAUUGCUGUAUUUUGUUCAAACUUUUAGUGGCGACAAAAUGCCCACCGUAGUUUGUUCAAACUUUUAGUGGUGACAAAAUAUCGUCGUAUUUUAUUCAAACUUUUAGUGACGACAUAGCGUUGCCAUUAUAUGAAAACUUUUAGAGGUG